GUUUCUUUAACAAAUAUCAUGAUGAUGAUAAUAAAGGUGUAGAUAAUAAUGGUGUUACUGUAAAUUCAAGCAUUCACCCUCAGCUUAACCUUGACACUAGCACUGAAUUUCACACUUAUCUUUCACUCUCACUGACUUCUCAAAACUUCACUCUAUGCCUUUUACAGGGGACCUUGAUUUUUAGGAGAAGCCAUUAGAUGAUAUCUUUCUAAAUCUUCUACCACUUAAAUUACAGAAUUCAUUUCCUACUUAAAUUACAGAAUUCAUUUAUAUCAAAAUCAAAUAUCUUAGUUUAUAGUGGGGUUGCAGCCCUUAUAAUUUUUUUUUUUUUACAAAGAGAACCCUUUGGUUAUUUCUUUCUAAUUUCACUCUUGUUCUUUAACAGCCAAACAUGCAAGAGUAACAAGAAAAAUUUCCCUUAACCACAUGUGGUUUCCAGUUUCUGCCCAACUUCUCCCACAUUUUUAAGUCAAACUUCCUGAAAGUUGUUUAUACUUGCUUUUUCUACUUUCUUACUUUCACUCCAUGUUCUUUAAAAUUUGUCUUCUGCUUUUACACUGUUUCACAAAAAUAUUCUUACCAUGUCAACACUGGCUUUCCUAUGUCUAAAGACAAUGAGAACUUUCUAGGUUUCACUAUAACCCUGAGCAGUGUUGAUCAUUAUGGACUUAUCCUUUCUUCUUGAAAUAUUCUCUAAUCUUAGCAUCUAUGGCACAAUGCUCUCUAGAACUUUUAUCUACUUUCCCAGCUGUUCCUCCUCAGUCUUUACGGCAGGAUCUCCUUCCCCUUCUGUCCUCUCACAUACUCAUGUUCC
RNAcentral lists this long non-coding RNA (814 nucleotides) under Marmota monax (woodchuck). Lineage: Eukaryota; Metazoa; Chordata; Mammalia; Rodentia; Sciuridae. The record is from RNAcentral.